Symphalangus syndactylus (siamang) is the source of this 427-nucleotide long non-coding RNA. RefSeq lists it as uncharacterized. The record is from RefSeq and is a predicted model, not a curated record. NCBI's taxonomy places the organism in Eukaryota, Metazoa, Chordata, Mammalia, Primates, Hylobatidae.
UCUCUCCCCCAGGGGCCUUAUCAGAACUGGAGAGCUUCAUCCUGGGAGCCAAGUUGGCUCACAGGCAGCGAUGCUGUUACACCAGUCAUCACAGGUGCACCGACCUCUGCACGCCCAGUCACACUGGACGCCUGGUCUCCUUACUCUUGAAUUGAUUUCCGUCAGGUCUCCUGGCCUCAGUGAUGGAAUUAAGAUGACUUCUAUCUCUGAAUCCAAGGGUGACUGAAAGCCACAAGCUGCAGAAAGGACAAGAGGCAUCACCUAUGUGGAUAAAGACAGCAUUCUGAGUUGAUGGGGAAAUGGCAUAGAAGGAACCAGGUCCUUUGAUGACAUCAUGGAGCAGAGCUGUCUUCUUGCCUUGACCUGCCACCUACCUACAUGGGAAGCUGUUACUUGAGAAGGCAAUAAAAUCUAUCUUCUUUAUUGA